UUGAGCUUCUCAAAUAGGAUGGAAAGAAGGCGAGGGAACCCAAAACAGGUUUCGUCGGCUCUCAUACGGGCUGUGGUCCGCAUGUAGCUGAUAAUAAUACUGGCAAGAGGGAUACCAGUGAGCUGCUGACCCACACCAUGCAUCAUCUUGUCCAAGAAAUAAAGAUCGCUAUUUCGGAGCUCUAUUUUUCCCCUCCUCUUUGGCAUCACAUUAAAGGCAAAAAGAUAGAAUAUCAAGUGGUACCUAGGAUCGAA
This 254-nucleotide long non-coding RNA is filed under the name Coffea arabica (coffee). RNAcentral's name for it is "long non-coding RNA (CARA_LNC005740)". Lineage: Eukaryota; Viridiplantae; Streptophyta; Magnoliopsida; Gentianales; Rubiaceae. The record is from RNAcentral.